RNAcentral lists this ribosomal RNA (253 nucleotides) under uncultured bacterium. Its description in RNAcentral is "partial 16S ribosomal RNA". It matches the Rfam family "Bacterial small subunit ribosomal RNA", at positions 524 to 776 of the family's 1533-position model. The record is from RNAcentral.
UACGGGGGGGGCAAGCGUUGUUCGGAAUUACUGGGCGUAAAGGGCUCGUAGGCGGCCAACUAAGUCGGACGUGAAAUCCCUCGGCUUAACCGGGGAACUGCGUCCGAUACUGGAUGGCUUGAGUUCGGGAGAGGGAUGCGGAAUUCCAGGUGUAGCGGUGAAAUGCGUAGAUAUCUGGAGGAACACCGGUGGCGAAGGCGGAUCUCUGGGCCAUUACUGACGCUGAGGAGCGAAAGCGUGGGGAGCGAACAGG